AUGGCGAGCUCACCGACGUUGCAGUUCACGGUGCGCAGGAAGCCCGCAGUGCUGGUGGCGCCGGCGGGGCCGACGCCGCGGGAGCUAAAGCCGCUCUCGGACAUCGACGACCAGACCAGGACGGGCUCCGCUUCCACGUCCCAGUGA
This 147-nucleotide ribosomal RNA is filed under the name Triticum aestivum (bread wheat). RNAcentral describes it as "partial small subunit ribosomal RNA". Lineage: Eukaryota; Viridiplantae; Streptophyta; Magnoliopsida; Poales; Poaceae. The record is from RNAcentral.